Molecule: long non-coding RNA, 310 nt
Organism: Ipomoea nil (Japanese morning glory)
Lineage: Eukaryota; Viridiplantae; Streptophyta; Magnoliopsida; Solanales; Convolvulaceae
Exons: 4
Source: RefSeq, a predicted model, not a curated record
UUGAGACUUGGGGUGAGGAGAAUGUACUUUCUGGUGGUCAUGGACUAAUGGUUCAAAGUUAUUACCCUGUAAUACAGGCUUUGGCUAAAGACAUUGAUAUCCGUAUGAAUCACAAGUAUGCGUACAUAUUUUCCAAAACAUGAAAAUGCAGUUGUGUCUUUCUCUUUGGCCUUUUCAUAGGUUUUAUAAAUUUAUACUAACUUUUUUAUUUCAAGUUAGUGGCACAUGAUGAAAUGCAUUUUCUGAUGCUCUUGUAAAAUUCAAUUAUACUUUUAAUUGAAUUGAUUUUAUAAAUUAAUACUAAUAUAUU